RNAcentral lists this long non-coding RNA (227 nucleotides) under Lathyrus oleraceus (garden pea). Its description in RNAcentral is "Pisum sativum (pea) long non-coding RNA (PSAT_LNC034841)". Lineage: Eukaryota; Viridiplantae; Streptophyta; Magnoliopsida; Fabales; Fabaceae. The record is from RNAcentral.
UCUUUCUCUAAUGUUUCCACCUUUAGAGUUGUAUGAUGCACCAGUCCUAUUGCCACUGCUUUCCCCCUUUUAAAAUGUUAAAAUUUUGGAAUUUGGGGAUUCCCUUCUACCAAAAUUUUAAAAUUUCCCUCUACCUUUGUUCGUGGGCCACUUUCCAUUUGCCUUCUUGUCUAUUUCAUUGAAGCGUACUUACAAAACGAUCUUCUCAUUUUCCUUAUCAACAUUCC